This 253-nucleotide ribosomal RNA is filed under the name uncultured bacterium. Its description in RNAcentral is "partial 16S ribosomal RNA". It matches the Rfam family "Bacterial small subunit ribosomal RNA", at positions 524 to 776 of the family's 1533-position model. The record is from RNAcentral.
UACAGAGGUCUCAAGCGUUGUUCGGAUUCAUUGGGCGUAAAGGGUGCGUAGGUGGCGUCGUAAGUCAGGUGUGAAAUCUCGGGGCUUAACUCCGAAACUGCAUUUGAUACUGCGGUGCUUGAGGACUGGAGAGGAGACUGGAAUUUACGGUGUAGCAGUGAAAUGCGUAGAGAUCCGGAGGAAGACCGGUGGCGAAGGCGGUCUGCUGGGCAGUUCCUGACACUGAGGCACGAAGGCCAGGGGAGCAAACGGG